GAAAUGUUGGGUUAAGUCCCGCAACGAGCGCAACCCUUAUCCUUUGUUGCCAGCGGUUCGGCCGGGAACUCAAAGGAGACUGCCAGUGAUAAACUGGAGGAAGGUGGGGAUGACGUCAAGUCAUCAUGGCCCUUACGAGUAGGGCUACACACGUGCUACAAUGGCGUAUACAAAGAGAAGCGACCUCGCGAGAGCAAGCGGACCUCAUAAAGUACGUCGUAGUCCGGAUUGGAGUCUGCAACUCGACUCCAUGAAGUCGGAAUCGCUAGUAAUCGUAGAUCAGAAUGCUACGGUGAAUACGUUCCCGGGUCUUGUACACACCG
This 323-nucleotide ribosomal RNA is filed under the name Serratia sp. JC25. RNAcentral's name for it is "bacterial SSU rRNA". It matches the Rfam family "Bacterial small subunit ribosomal RNA", at positions 1069 to 1392 of the family's 1533-position model. The record is from RNAcentral. Lineage: Bacteria; Pseudomonadati; Pseudomonadota; Gammaproteobacteria; Enterobacterales; Yersiniaceae.